UUUAUAUUUAACAACUGAUUCAACAGUUAUUUUGACCGAACACUUUUGUUUUAAAUCGUUGAUAUCCAAUAAUUAACAACUAGUAAAAUAACUAAUAGCUACUAAAAUAACUAACAACAUAAUAUUGCUGAAUAAGACCUAAUAAUUAGCGGGAUAUGUAGAUAAGUUGUUUUACUCUGCUUUGUUUGGAUUAUGAAAUAGCAUAUGAAAAGAUGGAAAUAAUAUCAAGAA
This 231-nucleotide unclassified non-coding RNA is filed under the name Hevea brasiliensis (rubber tree). Lineage: Eukaryota; Viridiplantae; Streptophyta; Magnoliopsida; Malpighiales; Euphorbiaceae. The record is from RNAcentral.